UAACUGAAUAGUCAAACAGGUGCCCCGCAGGGGGAGAAUAGGGAAGUCCGGACGGGUGGCAUACCACCCGGAAACGGCGCGGUCCCGCCACUGUAGUCGGGGAGCUUAUCCCGGUCACUGGCCCACCACUCACUGUAUCCAGUGGCACGCUUGUUCAGCAGUAACAUAGUAACGGUAUGAUCAAGCGAUGUCACGGGUGAGUGCUGGCCGGGAAGGCCUGGAUAAAUAGCGAUGAUCCGUUAGCCAGGAGACCUGCCUGUUUGAGGGAUGGUCG
RNAcentral lists this non-coding RNA (274 nucleotides) under Desulfofundulus kuznetsovii. The record is from RNAcentral. Lineage: Bacteria; Bacillati; Bacillota; Clostridia; Eubacteriales; Peptococcaceae.